Molecule: ribosomal RNA, 265 nt
Filed under: uncultured bacterium
Lineage: Bacteria
Description: partial 16S ribosomal RNA
Rfam family: Bacterial small subunit ribosomal RNA
Source: RNAcentral
GUCCUAGCCGUAAACGAUGGUCACUAGGUGUUGGGGGUAUCGACCCCCCAGUGCCGAAGCUAACGCAUUAAGUGACCCGCCUGGGGAUUACGGCCGCAAGGCUGAAACUCAAAAGAAUUGACGGGGCCCCGCACAAGCGGUGGAGCAUGUGGCUCAAUUCGAGGCUACACGAAGAACCUUACCACGGCUUGACAUGUGUGGAAUCCCCCGGAAACGGGGGAGUGCCCUUCGGGGAGCCACAACACAGGUGGUGCAUGGCUGUCGU